Long non-coding RNA from Erigeron canadensis, 205 nucleotides. RefSeq lists it as uncharacterized. NCBI's taxonomy places the organism in Eukaryota, Viridiplantae, Streptophyta, Magnoliopsida, Asterales, Asteraceae. The transcript is spliced from 3 exons. The record is from RefSeq and is a predicted model, not a curated record.
CAAGAUCACGAAAUCAGCCCCCAAAGAGGCUGAUCGGACAGCAGUAAAAACAGGAGGAAAACAUCUCCAAUCUUCUUCUUUUCUUUUGAUUCUUGACCAUCAAAGGCUUCUUUCAGCCAUGAAACACCUCAAGAACAACCAUGGAAUGGAGACCCAACAACACCCUCAAUCUUGUUCUUUUCAUCUUCAAAGGGAUAGUCUUGGC